UGAUGACAGUUUGUAUUCAUUUUUAUGGCAGUAAUUAGGUGGAGAUUUGUUGUUUUAUAAAGGUUAUUCUUAAGUCAAACUAAUUUAUGAGGCAAAUCUGUUUCCUUCGAUAAACUUCUCUUCCUUUGGAAACAGUAACGGACUAACUACAUGUAUUUUGACUCAUUGAUUUGUAAAGAUUUCUUACUUUGAUUGUAUCGAUAACUUAUAUCAUAGAUAGUAUUGGGUUCAAAUAGCAACAAAUUGUUAUUAACCGGUGAAAAUGUUUAAUAAUAAGUGGAUGGAUCAUCUGUGGCCGAUGGGGAAUAUGUAUUUACGGAUUUCUUACUUGAAAAAAAAAAUCCAACCUGUAUCAAUGUUAGUGACUAUGGUAACAAUAAUAUUGUAUUCUUUAGUAUGUACGAUAAUAUAAUCAGAAUAAUCUGCAACCAAAACGUUGACAAAGAUGAAAAAAUAGAACCAAAACGAGUGGUCCAACACCAAGAAACCCGCAUCUUAACGUGCUUCCAAGUAUUUACUUGAAUCUAUCUAUUUAUUGUCAUACUAUUUCAAUAUAUACCCCCAUUUAGUUUCUUUAGUUUAUAUUAUUAUUGUCUGUGUCUCUCCAUACACAAAAUCUUGCUUAUUAGUGUUAUGUAUUAUGAUGAUAUACUUUGUGGACAAA
RNAcentral lists this long non-coding RNA (664 nucleotides) under Brassica napus (rape). Its description in RNAcentral is "long non-coding RNA (BNAP_LNC007796)". Lineage: Eukaryota; Viridiplantae; Streptophyta; Magnoliopsida; Brassicales; Brassicaceae. The record is from RNAcentral.